Non-coding RNA from Thamnophis sirtalis, 330 nucleotides. NCBI's taxonomy places the organism in Eukaryota, Metazoa, Chordata, Lepidosauria, Squamata, Natricidae. The record is from RefSeq and is a predicted model, not a curated record.
CCUGACCCUUGGAACACCCACAUCUGGAAAGGGGCUAACGGCACCCCCACCAAGAAGAGAGCAAUUGGCUUUAAAAAAUUAGCUAAAGCAGUCAAGUUCUCUGCGAAGCUGAUGGGACAAGCAAUGGCGAAGCGGGUCAAAGCAACCAUCCUCUACGCCACAGAAACGGGGAAAUCCCAGGUCUAUGCAAAAACUCUUUGUGAAAUCUUCAAGCAUGCCUUUGAUGCCAAGGUGACGUCAAUGGAUGAGUACGACAUCGUUCACCUGGAACAUGAAACCUUAGUUCUGGUGGUCACGAGCACCUUCGGCAACGGGGACCCUCCAGAGAAU